This 446-nucleotide ribosomal RNA is filed under the name uncultured bacterium. Its description in RNAcentral is "partial 16S ribosomal RNA". It matches the Rfam family "Bacterial small subunit ribosomal RNA", at positions 330 to 793 of the family's 1533-position model. The record is from RNAcentral.
UCCAGACUCCUACGGGAGGCAGCAGUGGGGGAUAUUGCACAAUGGGGGGAACCCUGAUGCAGCGACGCCGCGUGGGUGAAGAAGCGCCUCGGCGCGAAAAGCCCUGUCAGCAGGGAAGAAAAUGACGGUACCUGAAGAAGAAGCCCCGGCUAACUACGUGCCAGCAGCCGCGGUAAUACGAAGGGGGCAAGCGUUAUCCGGAUUUACUGGGUGUAAAGGGGGCGCAGACGGCGAUGCAAGCCAGGAGUGAAAGCCCGGGGCCCAACCCCGGGACUGCUCUUGGAACUGCGUGGCUAGAGUGCAGGAGGGGCAGGCGGAAUUCCUGGUGUAGCGGUGAAAUGCGUAGAUAUUAGGAGGAACACCAGUGGCGAAGGCGGUCCGCUGGACAGCAACUGACGCUGAGGCGCGAAAGCGUGGGGAGCAAACAGGAUUAGAUACCCUGGUAA